CGCAGAUACCAGCUGGCUGCAACUGUUUAUUAAAAACACAGCACUGUGCAAACACGAAAGUGGACGUAUACGGUGUGACGCCUGCCCGGUGCUGGAAGGUUAAUUGAUGGGGUUAUCCGUAAGGAGAAGCUCUUGAUCGAAGCCCCAGUAAACGGCGGCCGUAACUAUAACGGUCCUAAGGUAGCGAAAUUCCUUGUCGGGUAAGUUCCGACCUGCACGAAUGGCGUAAUGAUGGCCAGGCUGUCUCCACCCGAGACUCAGUGAAAUUGAACUCGCUGUGAAGAUGCAGUGUACCCGCGGCAAGACGGAAAGACCCCGUGAACCUUUACUAUAGCUUGACACUGAACAUUGAGCCUUGAUG
This 361-nucleotide ribosomal RNA is filed under the name Providencia rettgeri. RNAcentral describes it as "partial 23S ribosomal RNA". It matches the Rfam family "Bacterial large subunit ribosomal RNA", at positions 1778 to 2136 of the family's 2925-position model. The record is from RNAcentral. Lineage: Bacteria; Pseudomonadati; Pseudomonadota; Gammaproteobacteria; Enterobacterales; Morganellaceae.